Molecule: ribosomal RNA, 441 nt
Filed under: uncultured bacterium
Lineage: Bacteria
Description: partial 16S ribosomal RNA
Rfam family: Bacterial small subunit ribosomal RNA
Source: RNAcentral
CCUACGGGGGGCAGCAGUGGGGGAUAUUGCACAAUGGGGGGAACCCUGAUGCAGCGACGCCGCGUGGGUGAAGGAGCGUUUCGGCGCGUAAAGCCCUAUCGGCAGGGAAGAAGGAGGACGGUACCUGACUAAGAAGCUCCUGCUAACUACGAGCCAGCAGCCGCGGUACUACGCAGGGGGCAAGAGUUUACCGGAUUUACUGGGUGUAUAGGGGGCGCAGGGGGCAGCGGAAGCCAGGGGUGAAAGGCGGGGGCUCAACCCCCGGACUGCUGUGGAAACUGUACGGCUGGAGUGCAGGAGAGGUAAGUGGAAUUCGUGGUGUAGCGGUGAAAUGCGUAGAUAUUAGGAGGAACACCAGUGGCGAAGGCGGCUUACUGGACUGUAACUGACGUUGAGGCUCGAAAGCGUGGGGAGCGAACAGGAUUAGAUACCCGAGUAGUC